AACGAACGCUGGCGGCAUGCCUAACACAUGCAAGUCGAACGAGACCUUCGGGUCUAGUGGCGCACGGGUGCGUAACGCGUGGGAACCUGCCCUUAGGUUCGGAAUAACUCCCCGAAAGGGGUGCUAAUACCGGAUAAUGUCUUCGGACCAAAGAUUUAUCGCCUUUGGAUGGGCCCGUGUUGGAUUAGCUAGUUGGUAGGGUAAAAGCCUACCAAGGCGACGAUCCAUAGCUGGUCUGAGAGGAUGAUCAGCCACACUGGGACUGAGACACGGCCCAGACUCCUACGGGAGGCAGCAGUGGGGAAUAUUGGACAAUGGGCGAAAGCCUGAUCCAGCAAUGCCGCGUGAGUGAUGAAGGCCUUAGGGUUGUAAAGCUCUUUUACCCGGGAUGAUAAUGACAGUACCGGGAGAAUAAGCUCCGGCUAACUCCGUG
Molecule: ribosomal RNA, 433 nt
Filed under: uncultured bacterium
Lineage: Bacteria
Description: partial 16S ribosomal RNA
Rfam family: Bacterial small subunit ribosomal RNA
Source: RNAcentral